AGGGUUGCUGGAGGUAUCAGAAGUGCGAAUGCUGACAUGAGUAACGUUAAAGCGGGUGAAAAGCCCGCUCGCCGUAAGCCCAAGGUUUCCUGCUCUACGUUCAUCGGAGCAGGGUGAGUCGGCCCCUAAGGUGAGGCUGAGAAGCGUAACUGAUGGGAACAAGGUUAAUAUUCCUUGACCACCGCUGAAUGCGAAGGGGGGACGGAGUAUUGAAGAUCAUCCGGGUGUUGGAUAUCCCGGUUUGCGAGCGUAGGAGGCUGACAGGCAAAUCCGUCAGCGGAUCUCCGAGGCGAAGCAUCGAGCUCUCUUUUGAGCGAAGUGAUUGGAUGUGCUUCCAGGAAAAGCCUCUAAGCUCCAGUUCAGCGGGACCGUACCGCAAACCGACACUGGUGGGCGAGCUGAAUAUGCUCAGGCGCUUGAGAGAACUCAGGAGAAGGAACUCGGCAAAUUGACACCGUAACUUCGGGAUAAGGUGUGCCUUUGUAGCGUGGAGGGAGAAACACCCCGAGCGCGAAGAGGUCUCAGAUAAUCGGUGGCUGCGACUGUUUAUUAAAAACACAGCACUCUGCAAAGACGAAAGUCGACGUAUAGGGUGUGAUGCCUGCCCGGUGCUGGAAGAUUAAUUGAUGGGGUGCAAGCUCCUGAUCGAAGUCCCAGUAAACGGCGGCCGUAACUAUAACGGUCCUAAGGUAGCGAAAUUCCUUGUCGGGCAAGUUCCGACCUGCACGAAUGGCAUAACGAUGGCCACACUGUCUCCUCCUGAGACUCAGUGAAGUUGAAGUGUUUGUGAUGAUGCAAUCUCCCCGCGGCUAGACGGAAAGACCCCAUGAACCUUUACUGUAGCUUUGCAUUGGACUUUGAACCGAUCUGUGUAGGAUAGGCGGGAGCCUGUGAAACCACAACGCCAGUUGUGGCGGAGGCGUCCUUGAAAUACCGCCCUGAUUUGUUUGAGGUUCUAACCUGGGACAGUCAUCCUGUCCGGGGACCGUGCAUGGUAGGCAGUUUGACUGGGGCGGUCUCCUCCUAAAGGGUAACGGAGGAGUGCGAAGGUACGCUAGGUACGGUCGGAAAUCGUGCUGAUAGUGCAAUGGCAAAAGCGUGCUUGACUGCGAGACCCACAAGUCGAGCAGAUACGAAAGUAGGUCAUAGUGAUCCGGUGGCUCUGUAUGGAAGGGCCAUCGCUCAACGGAUAAAAGGUACUCUGGGGAUAACAGGCUGAUACCGCCCAAGAGUUCAUAUCGACGGCGGUGUUUGGCACCUCGAUGUCGGCUCAUC
RNAcentral lists this ribosomal RNA (1275 nucleotides) under human gut metagenome. Its description in RNAcentral is "bacterial LSU rRNA". It matches the Rfam family "Bacterial large subunit ribosomal RNA", at positions 1266 to 2541 of the family's 2925-position model. The record is from RNAcentral.